GACAGAGGUGCCGAGCGUUAGGCGGAAUCACUGGGCUUAAAGCGUGUGUAGGCGGAUUCCUAAGUACCUUGUGAAAUCCCACGGCUCAACCGUGGAACUGCUUGGUAUACUGGGUGUCUUGAGCCAACUAGGGGCUACCGGAACAAAUGGUGGAGCGGUGAAAUGCGUAGAUAUCAUUUGGAACGCCAAUGGUGAAAACAGGUAGCUGGGGUUGUGCUGACGCUGAGACACGAAAGCCAGGGGAGCAAACGGG
Molecule: ribosomal RNA, 253 nt
Filed under: uncultured bacterium
Lineage: Bacteria
Description: partial 16S ribosomal RNA
Rfam family: Bacterial small subunit ribosomal RNA
Source: RNAcentral